Molecule: long non-coding RNA, 3466 nt
Filed under: Sus scrofa (pig)
Lineage: Eukaryota; Metazoa; Chordata; Mammalia; Artiodactyla; Suidae
Description: lncRNA (ENSSSCG00060063078.1)
Source: RNAcentral
UUUUUUUUUUUUUCUUCUUGUCAUGAUUCCUCCAUCUUGCCUCCAUCACUGCCAGCCUUGGUGACAUCUGCGAAGUUUGAACAUUAUUGCCAGAUGUCCUACCUUCCAUUGCCCUUGUUACUUUAGCAAACCCUCUGCAUCUAGGUCUGGGCCCCUGAGGCCAUGAGCCUUAUAUUUAAGCUCCCUUGUUCAUAUGAGUUGCUAGCUUCCCAACACUGUCACUCAUUUAUUUUGUCAUACCCUACAUAGCAACUGCUCUGUUUGGGAUCAUCUACUAGGACUACAAAUACAUACGGUGACUGAGCAAGAAGGCUUCUUCGGCCCUACAAAGAUUGUAUCAGACUCAGGUAUGUCUUGUCAGAAUUGCUGGCUUAAGAGUUCCCAUUGUGGCUCUGUGGGUUAAAAACCUGACAUAGUGUCCCUGAGGAUGCAGGUUCAACCCUUGGCCUCACUCAGUGGGUUAAGAAUCCAGUGUCACCAUGGCUAUGGUGUAGGCUCAGCUGUAGCUCCAAUUCAAGAUUCAACCCCUAGCCUGGGAUAUGCAGUGGAUGCGGCUGUCGAAAAAAUUUUUUUAAUAAUGAAUGAAUAAAUAAAUACAUUAAUAAAAUUAGUUGCUUGUUUAGAAAUGAAAGUAGCAUCAAUGUUGUUGGGGCCCAUGCCAUUGACCUUGAGGGGCUAGGGGCUAGCUGGAAGUGGGUCAUCAUAGGAGAGUGUGCUUUUGUGAACCUUUAUUUGCAAAUGUGCUUUUAAAUCUUGAGCUCUAGCAACUGGGCAGAAAUAGCACUCCUGUUGUUUACAUGGCAGAGUCUGUGCUGGAAGAGAACAUUCCUCAGCCUUUCAUCAACAGGAAUCGAGCCUGUGUAGCUGGGAUUUGUAAGUGCACAGCCCAGCCUAACAAAUGCCUCGUCCAAAAUGACCCAGCAUUUCAGGCCCAAGAGGGACACAGCUGGCCUGUUACCACAGGGCUCUUAUUACUGUUGUCACCACCAUUAGCAUCUCAAAUUGACCAAUUAUCCACAGAGUGUAAGGCAUACAGUCAUACUCCUAUCUGGAAGCUUGUGACACAAGAACAUGCCUAGCAGGAGUGUGUUCUUGGGACCCACUUUUUCUGGCUAGAAAGACCUUAUGAAGGCAUGGGAACGUGUGCUGCAGUGAUUAAAGGGGUUCCUAGCGAUUUAUUGUCCAAAGGCCCCCAAUGGAUUUCAAGACCCUGAUAUUUUUGAAAAUUAGCAGCUGUGGCCUUUCCCGAGCCAGUGCCCAGCGUGAAGCUUUCAAUACUGUCACAAUGCUAUGCAUUUGCCACUUGGAUCAAUACCACGAAUUCCAUUAAGCUGUGCUCUCUCUGCAUUCUGCUUUCUUCCUAUCCCUGUGACCUCCUUUCCCUGCUUUCAUUUGCAAACCUCUGCAGGCCCUGUGCAAGGAACCUAUUAAGUGUCCUGAAUUAGGGAGGGUUUAUGCAAGUCUCACUUCCCUUUCCCUGCUAUGAGCUUGAGAAUCAGAGUGAAUGACACUAUAGGUCCACAGAAAUGAGCCUGCCUAUAAAGGAUCACUCUCUUUAAUAAAAAUAAACUGCUAAUGAUAGUAACUUGAUGAUGAUGUCCAGGAACUAACUUUAAACUCUUGCCUCCCCAUGUCCACCCUUGGGGACAAACCUGUAUAAUAUUUCUCACUUUAUCUUUUCUUCCAGAUUAUUGGUUCAUAGUCCACUUUCCCUCCCUCGCUUCCUCUAUCCCUUUCCUUCCUUCCUUCUUUCCUUCCUUCCUUCUUUUCUUCCUUCCUUAUUUCACAUAGUGUUUGUUCUUAAGGAAUGGGCAGUAAAGCCACAGUUGUUUUUAAUCUUUGGCUUGAAACUAUGAGGCAGGAAUUUCUGCUGUGGUGGUGUCUCUGAGAGCUGAGACCUCUUUCACCCUUAUAAAAUGAAAAUUUCCAAGAGAAACUAGAGGCCCUUUCAAGUGAGCUCACAAAACUGUUUUUCUAACAGGUUCGAUCCCUAGCCCAGCGUAGUGGGUUCAAGGAUCUGAUGUUGUGGCAGCUGUAGCACAGGUCGCAACUGCAGCUCAGAUCCUGGGAACCCCAUGUGCCAUAGGGUGGCCAAAAAAUAAAAUAAAAUACAUAAAUAAAUAAAUAAAACUUGAGGCAUUUCCCCAGAAAAAUUCAUCUGUAUACACAUGCAAACAUUUGCAUCGAAUUACAGGUAUCUUGGGGUUAAUAGAUGUACACUACUGCCUUUGGAAGGAAUUAGCAAUGAGAUCCUACUGUGAAGCACUGGGAACUAUGUCUAGUCACUUAUGACGGAGCAUGAUAAUGUGAGAAAAUAGAAUGUGUACACGUAUGUGUAACUGGGUAGGAAAAAAUGUAUUGGGGAAAUAACAAAAACAAACAAACAAACAAAAAGGAAAGUAUUACUGCUAACGAAAUAAAUAAAUAAAUAAAACCCCUAACAUGUCUGUCAGGGACUCCCUAAGGUAUCAAUGGGCUAAAGGAUAUAGAGGGAUCUAGAUCCUCUGUGGGAUCCUUAGCACCUCACAUUAAGGACAAGUCAUAUCCCUCUAGAAAAGAGGGAGUAGAAGAAACAAUUAUAUCUUUACCAGUUUAAACAAACAUUUACUAAAUACAAUUUAUAUACAGUCAAAUCCACCCUUUCUACAUUUCAAGCAUAACCAUCAUUAUAAAUAAGAUGUAAAAUAUUUCCAAGCCCUGAAAAUCCCCUUGCACUGCAUUGGAGUAAAUUAUCUCCCCUUACCUCCUGUCCCAGAUAAUAAUCUGAGUUCUCUUUCUCAAGUUAUCUUUUAUGGAAUGUCAUAUAAGUUAACCAAUACAAUAUGUAGCCUUUGGUGUUUGACUUAAAUCACUUAGCAUAAUGCUUUCAACUUAUAAAAUAUAUAAAAUAAAGUGAAAAUGUAAAAUAAAGUGAGAGUUGUUGGGGAGCAGGUCACCUUAGAUAGAUAUGGGGAGGGGAGAGUUUGAGGCUUAUCAUCACCUUCCCAUUAAGUAGCUGGUUCCUUAUUAACAAGAAUGCUACCUGAUAUAUUCAUAUAUGUGGCAGUAGUUUGUUACUUUUCACUACUGAGCAGUAUUUCAUUGUAUGGAUGUAUCACAACUUGUAAGCGUUUUAUUUCUUUGGUUAUGUGACUUACUUUUAUGCUGUGCAUUUCCAUCUAAGGAAACCAAGGCCCAGAGAAGCUGUGGUUUUCCAGAAGACCAUCCCAACUUCCCACGAGAGGAAGAAGAGAGACAGGGCCAGAAAGAGACCCCAGAGACCUGGCUUAGUGUGUGUGAUGGUAAGAAUGAAAUAUGGGCAGGGGAAUGGUUGUCCACAAGGGGCUCUCACAUGGGAAAAUGAGGCAGGAGGGAGAAUUACAGAAAAGACAACUGAAUGACACAGAUAAAGAAAUCUACCAUUAUCGGCCUUGAAAAGGCUCUCUGCUGAGUCCAGUUUGGGGCCCACGGAGAGUUUUAGAGAACC